AAAAGCUCAGUUUAGGGUUUAAAACCCCUAAUGCUGGCUGAAUGGAAAAAGUUCAGUUUAGGGUUUAAAACCCUAAUGCUGACUAAAGGGAAAAUUCAGUUUAGGUUUUAAAACCCUAAUGCUGAUUACAUGGAAAAAGCUCAGUUUAGGGUUUAAAACCCUAAUGCUGGCUGAAUGGAAAAGCUCAGUUUAGGGUUUAAAACCCUAAUGCUGGCUAAAGGAAAAAGUUCAGUUUAGGGUUUAAAACCCUAAUGCUGAUUACAUGGAAAAAGCUUAGUUUAGGGUUUAAAACCCUAAUGCUGGUUGAAUGGAAAAGCUCAGUUUAGGGUUUAAAACCCUAAUGCUGAUGGCUGGGGACAAAAUUCGAGAGCAAUAACUGACUUCUUUUUUUUUUGAAUUUUCUUGUUUUAGUAAAGAUAAAAGGGAGUUUCGUGGAAACUUACCUUUCGAGUGAAUUCCUUAUUGCCAAAAUGUUUCUUGUACCCAUGUACCUUCUCCUUUUGGCAACACCUGCUUCUUGCACGGUUGUCUCGGAUUAAACCUGUUUCAACUUUUCAGACAAAGAACAAUUGUUAGUUCGGAAAUGACGGUCGGUUCGGUGACCUUGAUCGUUCCCAGUUGCUUUGUUGCGUUUCUAUUUCUGUUGCGAAGUCCCGCCAUUGAUUUGAUUCGAAUGGCGAAACCCUUUAGAUUGCUCAGGCUUGUAUUUCCAGAUUCUGUGAUGACUUGCUUCGUAAGGCUCUCCUCUUUUCUUUUCC
RNAcentral lists this long non-coding RNA (758 nucleotides) under Nicotiana tabacum (common tobacco). RNAcentral's name for it is "long non-coding RNA (NTAB_LNC013038)". Lineage: Eukaryota; Viridiplantae; Streptophyta; Magnoliopsida; Solanales; Solanaceae. The record is from RNAcentral.